RNAcentral lists this non-coding RNA (28 nucleotides) under Cricetulus griseus (Chinese hamster). The record is from RNAcentral. Lineage: Eukaryota; Metazoa; Chordata; Mammalia; Rodentia; Cricetidae.
GUAAGUACUGAAAUGUGCAGUGAGGAAA